Ailuropoda melanoleuca (giant panda) is the source of this 3794-nucleotide RNA transcript. It is a transcript of the gene named kelch domain containing 8A, with no coding region annotated. The transcript has 6 exons. NCBI's taxonomy places the organism in Eukaryota, Metazoa, Chordata, Mammalia, Carnivora, Ursidae. The record is from RefSeq and is a predicted model, not a curated record.
AUGGAGGUACCUAACGUCAAGGACUUCCAGUGGAAGCGCCUGGCGCCGCUGCCUAGCCGCCGGGUCUACUGCUCCCUGCUGGAGAGCGGGGGACAGGUCUAUGCCAUCGGGGGAUGUGACGACAACGGCAUCCCCAUGGACUGCUUUGAGGUCUACUCCCCCGAGGCCGACCAGUGGACCGCCCUGCCCCCCCUGCCCACAGCCCGGGCCGGGGUGGCCGCCAUCGCCCUGGGGAAACGGAUCAUGGUGAUCGGGGGUGUGGGCACCAGUCAGCUGCCCCUGAAGGUCGUCGAGAUGUACAACAUCGAUGAGGGCAAGUGGAAGAAGAGGAGCGUGCUGCGCGAGGCCGCCAUGGGCAUUUCUGUCACGGCCAAAGAUUACCGAGUGUACGCGGCAGGCGGGAUGGGCCUGGACCUCCGUCCGCACAGCCACCUCCAACACUAUGACAUGCUCAAGGACAUGUGGGUGUCACUAGCACCCAUGCCCACCCCGAGAUAUGCUGCCACCUCCUUCCUCCGAGGCUGCAAGAUCUAUGUGCUAGGGGGACGACAGUCCAAGUAUGCAGUCAAUGCCUUUGAGGUCUUUGACAUCGAGACUCGCUCCUGGACCAAGUUCCCCAACAUUCCCUGCAAGCGGGCCUUCUCCAGCUUUGUGACCCUGGAUGAUCGCUUGUACAGCCUGGGGGGCCUGCGGCAGGGUCGGCUCUACCGGCAGCCCAAGUUCCUCCGGACGAUGGAUGUGUUCGACAUGGAACAGGGGGGCUGGCUGAAGAUGGAACGCUCGUUCUUCCUCAAGAAGCGGCGGGCAGACUUCGUGGCCGGCUCUCUGAGCGGACGGGUCAUAGUGGCCGGAGGACUCGGGAACCAACCCACGGUCCUGGAGACGGCUGAGGCGUUCCACCCAGUGAAGAACAGGUGGGAGGUCCUCCCCCCCAUGCCCACGCCCCGCUGCGCCUGCUCCAGCAUCCUCCUCAAGAACUGCCUCCUGGCCGUGGGGGGCGUCAACCAGGGUCUGAGCGACGCAGUGGAAGCGCUGUGUGUCUCGGACCCCUAGCUGUCCCCGGGCCCGGUACCUGUGCCCCGGACCAGAUCACUCCACUCUUGACAAGAGAAAUGGUCUCAUCAGAGCCGUUUGGGUGACUUCCUAGGAGGCCAGCUCCUCUCAGCAGCUAGUGGGGUCAGGCCCUGGGGCUCUGAGGGACCUCCCUCCACCGCCACACCAUCCCAAUCCCAGGAAACCGUAAGAAGACACGCUGACUCUGCCAGCCUCCAGCUGGAGCCCAGCUGAGCUCUGGGGAGCCCCCUCCCUUACUGCUCAGGCAGAGAAAGGCGCAGAAGCACCUGCUACCGCCCCUUCCUGUGAGUUCCGCCUCCCCCGGUGCCCAGGGUAGGAGGUAGGUAGGGCAGAAGACAACAGCUAUCCCUGUCUUCUCCCCAGCUCUGCACGAGUUGGAGGGUCUCUUGGGAUGGAAGAUGGUGAAGGCUUGCAAGGAGUCCCAAACGCUUCUUCUCUCCCGUGGUCCACAUGCCUUCCCCAUUUGGCGGUCACCUUCAGGCCUGUCCUAGCCCUCAUCUGCUCAGCAAGAAUUGACCUUGGAGCAGGAGCCGCUGAAUUGGAAGAGAAGUCAGGUUUAAACGGACAGGUCCAGGUCAGCAGCCUUGGCCAGGAAGAGCCCAUGCCUCUCGGGCCCUUGAUGGGAAUGCGGUGAUGAGGAAAGAAGGAGCAGACACCCAGCCCAGGCUCUGCUUCCAGCGUCUCUCCUCACUCACUUUCUCCUUCUGCCACGCCUCCCUGGCCCUUUUGUCCCCAGCGGCCCCGGAGUGUUUCUGUGCAAAACCUUCUCAUGUACACUGUGGCAUCAAAAUCCAUGAAGGCUGGAUUAACUGCACUCGGGUUAACACAGCAGCACAACGAUUAAAAUCUAUAUUCCUAUCCUCUCGGGUAGCUGGUGCAGGGGUGGGGUGGACAGGUGUCUCGACGGGUAGAGGGGACCCCAGGAAACAUUUCCUCUGACAUUCUCAGACUAAAUAGGGCCCCAGGUGACCAGCUGUCCUUGGCUGUUCCCACCAAGGAGGUUCCAUCUCCAAACCAUGGCCCGGCGCGUCAUCUCGCUCCCGGAACAGCUGCAUUUCUUCCUUCUCCUCGGCGUUGAGACUCCACUUGCAAGUUAGGAAAGGCUGUGCUCGAUAGCUGACAUCUUCGCAUCCGGCCUCCACAUCCACAUCCUUCACUCAGCUGAAGUUCGCUCCUGCCUUACCCCAAGGCUCCCCUAUCCGGAUCCAGUGUCCCCGUCCAUGGGAGAAGGGGACUGGAUUGGAGCUACACUUCCAGAUGGGUCUCCAACACCUGUGGGAAGCCUGCUCAGCCCUGGUGACAAACGACCAUCCCACCUUCGUUCUUCUCAUCCACAGCCCCCUCAGGCUGGCCCCUCCCCGAUUUCCGUGGCCACCACCCUUGUCCACACCCUCAUGCUCCUGCAUGAGCACAAGUCGCAGCCUCCCCACUGCGCUGCACCCCCAGCCCUCUCCUCCAGCCCACCCUUCGCAUCGCUGUUAGAGCCUCUGCGCUUUGGAAAUCUCUCUCGUCUCCAAAUCCAACUGUCCUUGCGGAGCUUAGCAUCCCCAGCAGCUCCCCCUACCCUUCAGGGGAUUCCCAGCCUCGGUCUGGGCCUCUGAGGCCUUUGGCACAGGUCCCACCUCCCCACCUCCCCUCUGCCCAGGGUUCCUGCCCUUCGUGUACCUGGUGAAUGCAGCCACCGCACCCACACAUCACCCCCAGACACAAAACUUUCUAGGUUCUCCUCAGGACCACGACAGUGCCAUUCACCCUUGGAGGUUCAGAACAUCACAGCUUGCUGGGCAUGCAGUGUCCAAAUGGAUAACAAAUAAUUGAUGGAAUAAAUGUGUAGCAAACAACAGGACUGAAUGAAGCCAGAAAUCAAAGAGCCGAGAGACAGCACCAACGUUGCGAGUAACCUCUACAAUGGCCCCUCUUCCCCGGAGCCCGUCUACAGCCUGUGGCUGGCACAAAGCAUCAGAGUCAGGAAAUCAGCAGUAUUUCAAAUCCCCUCGCUUAGGGAUCGGGUCCCUUCUCCCUUGGCUGCAGGCUCUGACGGGAGGGAUAGGUCAGGAUUGGGCUUUUCAUAAACUGUGGGGGACAGCCUGCCUGUUAAUCCCGGCUUGUGAUAACAGCCCCCAGCACCAGAUUGUGCUAGCGUCAUUCAGGGCCAAGAGAAAUGCUGGCUCCUGCCUUCCCUUACCGAGGGUCAGGAGCUGGUGACCGGCUCAAGAAUGUGCUUUGUUUGGGGUUUACAUUCCAGGAGCAGCUUGGGAGGCCAAGGGCUCAGGUUGCCAGUGGGAGCCAGACACGGGGCAGGGAGGUGGCACUGGGCAGACCUUCCCCCCCGCCCCCGCAUGCCUCCUAUGCCCUGUCCUGCCUGGUCCUCUCCGGACCACCCACACGAGUGCAGGGGCGCAGCUGUGGAGGCAGAGCCAGGAGGAAGGACACACUCAGCGCCUUCAAGGGAGCAACAUUUAAGUGGAGUGCAGGGUACUGAGUUCUGAGCCGCUGCCGCAAAUGCCCCGCUGCUGGGGAGCCUUUAACAGGCUUCUGUGUUCAGGGUCUCUUUUGACUAAUUAUGAACUGAGACGUAGGGAAACUGAGUCGUCUCUUCCAGGUCAUGUGGCCAGCCAGGCGUCGAGCCAGGUGUAGAACCCCAUCCUCUGACUGCCUUUCUGGGGCUCAUGUACCCCUUGCCUCAUGGACAUCGACAGCCCCUGUACCCCAGGAUCCAA